Non-coding RNA from Gasterosteus aculeatus aculeatus (three-spined stickleback), 3368 nucleotides. The record is from RefSeq and is a predicted model, not a curated record. NCBI's taxonomy places the organism in Eukaryota, Metazoa, Chordata, Actinopteri, Perciformes, Gasterosteidae.
CUCUGCAAGAGGACAGCAGCUCCGGGCCGUCCGUCCGUCUACCGCAGCUCGGCCCCUCAGAUGUCCUGCAGCCAGAAGUCAGGGAGACGUCUGCGCCAAAGUCCCGAGAUGCUGCUAACUGGGAGGCUGCAUUCCCGACGGCCUGUUUGGAGGAUGACCAGUUGAUUGAACAAACACCAAAAUGUCCCUUUAAACCCCAUAUGAUCCCACAACACGACUUUUCUUUUUUCUUUUUUUUUAAAACCCCUAAUUAAUUUACAAAUAACAGUUUGCACGGCCAGACCGCACUGUGCGCUCGGCGCACGCCACCGAAUCGCCGGAAGUCGCGGAAGGGCAGAUGAUUCAGUUUCAGGUGACAAAACGCACGAAAGCACGAAAUAAAAUCGAGGUGUGUAUCUACCACGACCAAAAUAAAAAAGGUUUGCUGUCCACGUGCACGAUUGAAACAUUUGUCCGCCUACCCGGGUCACGUGUUCACCAGACAUAAAACCACCACUGAUUGAAUGUGCACCGCGAGACUGUUCAAGAAAAUACCUUUUUAAUAAAUGGCACGAAAACACUUUUCAAUUAAAAAUAGAAAAACUGUCGGAAGAAGUAGACUUGAGUGCAUUAGUUUGCAAACACAUCUGUUGGAAGACUGCGCGGAAACACUGCCCAGUAAUCAAAGUUAAAACAUUAAAAAAAUCACAUCCCUUGAAUUUCAUUUAUAUGAGAAAAGAAGUGACCUAAUAAUUAAAACAAAACGCCAGAACAACACGUGGAUGACAAUUAAAGUAGAUCAUAUUCAUUAGCACUAUAUAUUUAUUAUUAACAAACUGUUGUUUGUUUAAACAAGUUUACACAAUUGACCCGAUAAUUUAAAAUAUGCUCAUUAAAAAAGAAAAAUCUGCACACUGAAUCAUUAAUGCUACAUAGAGGAAGCCUACUGUCGGUUAAUGUAGCUUAAAUAAUAAUUCAUAGUCCCAUGUCCUGAUUAUCCAUAUGGUUACAGCAGUUGACCUCGUUUCAUUCAUUCCCGUUUGUUUGUUUUUUUGAAAAAAUGUCAACAAAAUUGUUCACUGCUGGUCGACCAUUUUACUUACCACAAAUCUCAAACCAUUUUUGUUUAGGAAAUCUAAAGCAUCACAACCAUUCAGAUUAUUGUAGUUGGUGGAGAAGGAAAGAAGGCACAAUAAUAAGACCACAAAAAAUUUUUUUAGGCGUAAACCCUUGAUUUAUAUCAUCAAAACAAAGUGAAAAAUAAGAAACAGCCCACCAUGUGAAAGUUGUGUUGCUUCUAAAUUUUUCUCGGUAGAAAAUAAUAUAUAUUAUAGUUCAAAGGUUAAAAAACAAAGUGGGGGGCAUCGGCCCAGAUCAUGUAAGUCGACCUACGAGUGUCAAUUAGGCUGAGCUUUGGUUUACUGAAAGCCCGGCGGUGCCUCUAAACCAGCCAUUACUGAUACCGCACUGGUUUAAGAGCCAACGUGAUGUGGGCAACACGUUGUGGGAUCAGGCAGGCAAAGCUCAGACUCUCUAAACUCCUAAAUGCUUGUCUGUAAACCCCAAAAUGUCUUUCCUCCCCCAUCCAAAUUAGUUUACCAAAGUUUUAAACCUCGAGCUGGAAUGUUGCUGCAAACCACAACUGACAUGUUGAACGAGCCCGGGCCAUAAAUGUUCACUUAACUAAGACGGACCUGCUACUGGCUAUUGUUUUACCAGUGAGGAGGGACGAAUCUGACCUUUAAUCAACAGGUCAACAUUUGAUCGGAUGAGUUAUUAUAUACUGAAGUGUGUAAUGAGGAUGACAAUUCAGCCGUUUCCGAUUAGAAAGAAUUUGAGGUUUGAGCAAUUUAAAACGAUCAAACAGACGUUGACUAAACACAGUGGCACAGAGGAGCAGUUAAAUGACCAAAAAUCUCAUAACCAUCAUUUGUGAGACGACUUAUAAUUACAAAUGAUGACGGUGGUCAAAAGGCAAAGCAGUAAAACCGAGGACAAAACAACAAAAAAGAAAUGUAUGUCCUCAGAAGUGAAGAUGAAACCAAACCACAUUCGCAUGGACUUUAUACUUAAAAUAAAGCAGAAAAAAGCCCUUUGUAAAAGCUUCAAUAGGCGGUUUACAAAAUUCCAAUAUAUCAUCUCCAAGUUUGCUCCUCGAGGUUGAACUGCUACGGUCGAACAAGACUAACUCAACUACAAACAUGUAAGAAAUAGAGAAAAGGGCUAAUAUAGUGUGACCGUUAGAUUGAUAACAGAGCCAACUGCACACAAAACACGCCUGCAAGGAUACAAAGUGCACCACAAUACAAAUAAAAAGCAAAGGCCACAUCUCUAACAUCUCUCACUGCCCUCUAAUAAAUGCACUGCACUAGGACCUCGUGUCAAACUGGGGUGCAACUUCCCCCUUACCCACCAAUCUCCAUUCAUCUCCCCGCAAAAACAAGGAAUUGUGCGAGAGGAGCAAGAGGAAUUGGAAAGGAGUGGAAAACACAGAGGUCUCUCUGUCCUCGCCGGCCGAGACAUUUUAUCCCCACGUUGUCGAGCAUUAGAAAUGUCAGCCGGGCCCUGGACGGACACAGGAGGGCCCCGCUGGCCCACGCUCACACUGGCUGCAUCCUUUACGCUCUGCCAUGCAAAUAAACCCCGAAUGAGAGAGCAGCUGAGGGGGGAGCAGGAAAGAAAAACACAGAAAAAUAAAAAUAAAUUAAAGGAAGGAGGGAAGCAAGAGCGAAGGAUGGGACGGCUGCAAAGAGGAAUUGGAGAAACGUAGGUGGCGAGUGAGGAAGGAAGGAAACACUUGGUCUGAAGUAGCCCUGUAUGGGGACAUGAAAAAAGGAGUGUGUGUGGUGUGUGCGACAGAAAGAGAAAAGGAGUGGGUACCAUCCGGCCUCUGGAGGGGCGAGGAAUGCCCGGCGCUGGCACGGGAGAAUGGGAGAUGCAGGGUGGAGUAUGUUCACUGUGCGGCUGCCAGCAGAGCACAUUCCCGCUGCACAGUCAUGGAGACUUUUUAACCUAAAGAUGUGGAAGCAGCAGCACCAGCAGGAGAGCAAGACUCGUGCUCCGCUUUACGAAACCCAACAAACGCCUGGAAAAUGAUCCCGAAAGCAACAAUGGGUUUUAUUUUUCACUGGGAGACGGACAGCAAAGACGGACUUGAGUCCUCACACUUCCUGAUGAGUGCACAUUUCCAUUAAAAAAAUAAAUGCUUUUCAAGAACACUUAAACGUGUUUGAUGAAAGGGAAUUAAAAUGUCAAGAUGAACUCAGGUUUUAAUACACUGAUAUUUUAUAUGUUAUUAUGACAUUUAUUCAUUCAAUUUACUUGUAAAUACUUUAACUCCACAUGAGUUCAUUCACUCGGACAAAUAAAAAACAUCCAAAAAGGCAAAA